GGUUCAAGUGAUGAUGAGAAACUGCAACAAUAUGACAGGAGUUACACUCUUGUGAUUCAUAGUUUAAAGUCUGAUGAUU
Triticum aestivum (bread wheat) is the source of this 79-nucleotide non-coding RNA. The record is from Rfam. Lineage: Eukaryota; Viridiplantae; Streptophyta; Magnoliopsida; Poales; Poaceae.